This 231-nucleotide ribosomal RNA is filed under the name uncultured bacterium. RNAcentral's name for it is "partial 16S ribosomal RNA". It matches the Rfam family "Bacterial small subunit ribosomal RNA", at positions 1269 to 1500 of the family's 1533-position model. The record is from RNAcentral.
AAAACUCAAAAACUUGUCUCAGUUCGGAUUGUAGGCUGAAACUCGCCUACAUGAAGCUGGAGUUGCUAGUAAUCGCGAAUCAGCAUGUCGCGGUGAAUACGUUCCCGGGCCUUGUACACACCGCCCGUCAAACCAUGAGAGUUGGCAACACCCGAAGUCGGUAGUCUAACCGCAAGGAGGACGCCGCCGAAGGUGGGGUUGAUGAUUAGGGUUAAGUCGUAACAAGGUAUC